Molecule: ribosomal RNA, 1033 nt
Filed under: Staphylococcus aureus
Lineage: Bacteria; Bacillati; Bacillota; Bacilli; Caryophanales; Staphylococcaceae
Description: bacterial SSU rRNA
Rfam family: Bacterial small subunit ribosomal RNA
Source: RNAcentral
UUUAUGGAGAGUUUGAUCCUGGCUCAGGAUGAACGCUGGCGGCGUGCCUAAUACAUGCAAGUCGAGCGAACGGACGAGAAGCUUGCUUCUCUGAUGUUAGCGGCGGACGGGUGAGUAACACGUGGAUAACCUACCUAUAAGACUGGGAUAACUUCGGGAAACCGGAGCUAAUACCGGAUAAUAUUUUGAACCGCAUGGUUCAAAAGUGAAAGACGGUCUUGCUGUCACUUAUAGAUGGAUCCGCGCUGCAUUAGCUAGUUGGUAAGGUAACGGCUUACCAAGGCAACGAUGCAUAGCCGACCUGAGAGGGUGAUCGGCCACACUGGAACUGAGACACGGUCCAGACUCCUACGGGAGGCAGCAGUAGGGAAUCUUCCGCAAUGGGCGAAAGCCUGACGGAGCAACGCCGCGUGAGUGAUGAAGGUCUUCGGAUCGUAAAACUCUGUUAUUAGGGAAGAACAUAUGUGUAAGUAACUGUGCACAUCUUGACGGUACCUAAUCAGAAAGCCACGGCUAACUACGUGCCAGCAGCCGCGGUAAUACGUAGGUGGCAAGCGUUAUCCGGAAUUAUUGGGCGUAAAGCGCGCGUAGGCGGUUUUUUAAGUCUGAUGUGAAAGCCCACGGCUCAACCGUGGAGGGUCAUUGGAAACUGGAAAACUUGAGUGCAGAAGAGGAAAGUGGAAUUCCAUGUGUAGCGGUGAAAUGCGCAGAGAUAUGGAGGAACACCAGUGGCGAAGGCGACUUUCUGGUCUGUAACUGACGCUGAUGUGCGAAAGCGUGGGGAUCAAACAGGAUUAGAUACCCUGGUAGUCCACGCCGUAAACGAUGAGUGCUAAGUGUUAGGGGGUUUCCGCCCCUUAGUGCUGCAGCUAACGCAUUAAGCACUCCGCCUGGGGAGUACGACCGCAAGGUUGAAACUCAAAGGAAUUGACGGGGACCCGCACAAGCGGUGGAGCAUGUGGUUUAAUUCGAAGCAACGCGAAGAACCUUACCAAAUCUUGACAUCCUUUGACAACUCUAGAGAUAGAGCCUU